CCAGCCGUCGAAGCCGAAACCGCAUCCCAUCAGAACUCCACAAUUAAGCGUGCUUGGGCGAGAGUAGUUCUAAGUUGGGUGACCACUUGGGAAGUCCUCGUGUUGCACCCC
RNAcentral lists this ribosomal RNA (111 nucleotides) under Cucumis melo (muskmelon). Lineage: Eukaryota; Viridiplantae; Streptophyta; Magnoliopsida; Cucurbitales; Cucurbitaceae. The record is from RNAcentral.